CUGCCGGCGACCGGCGCACGGGUGAGUAACACGUAUGGAACCUGCCCGCAGCAGGGGGAUAAGCGGAAGAAAUUCCGUCUAAUACCGCGUAACAACGUUGGGAGGCAUCUCCCGAUGUUUAAAGAUUUAUCGGCUGCGGAUGGCCAUGCGGCGCAUUAGCUAGUCGGCGGGGUAACGGCCCACCGAGGCGACGAUGCGUAGGGGUUCUGAGAGGAAGGUCCCCCACACUGGUACUGAGACACGGACCAGACUCCUACGGAAGGCAGCAG
This 269-nucleotide ribosomal RNA is filed under the name uncultured bacterium. RNAcentral's name for it is "partial 16S ribosomal RNA". It matches the Rfam family "Bacterial small subunit ribosomal RNA", at positions 85 to 354 of the family's 1533-position model. The record is from RNAcentral.